Acanthopagrus latus (yellowfin seabream) is the source of this 1100-nucleotide long non-coding RNA. RefSeq lists it as uncharacterized. The record is from RefSeq and is a predicted model, not a curated record. NCBI's taxonomy places the organism in Eukaryota, Metazoa, Chordata, Actinopteri, Spariformes, Sparidae. The transcript is spliced from 3 exons.
UUUAAUUUAACUGAGUUAAUAUUACUUCCUGUUCCUGCAGGUGGCAGGUGACGCGCAUGCGCAGCUCCUCUGCUGACAGCAAGAAGGAAAGAUGAGAGAAAACUUCAACAUUUCAAUCUUAGUGCUGACAGAAACAAAGGAGGCUGAUUGUUAAGUCUUGACUGUGGAGGGCAGCGUUACGCUCCUUUGCGCACAGCCUGCCGGAAUUCAAGAAGAAGAAGAAGCAGAAGAGGAACAAGAAGAAGAACAACAACAACAAGAACAAGAAGAAGAAGCAGCAGCAGAACCAGCAGCAGCAGAACCAGCAGCAGCAGAACCAGCAGAAGAAGAACAAGAAGAAGAAGAGAGCUGGGCCGGGAACGGGACCGGGAUUUUGCCGGCGGUUCGGUCCCGUUCUGUGGAUCUUAACGGACUGUUGCCUUCACUCCCUUAGCCCUACACAUUCUGGAUGUCUGGAUACUGUCUUUACUCGUCGUCCAAUUGAUAAUCGCCUACCUGUGGAUGUUAACAUGCCAUUAACCAAUCGCACCAAGAGAGAGAAAAAACGUCAGGCGAUGCGCCUUGCACGUGCUGCUGAGUCAGCUGAAGCCAGAGAUGCCCGCCGGGCCAGCAAUGCUUCUUAUCAGUCAAGGCGCCGUGCAGCUGAAACCGAAAGCCAGCGGACCACUCGACUGGCAAUCAACGCCGCACUCCAGUCAAGGCGCCGUGCACGUGCUGCUGAGUCAGCUGAAGCCCAAGAUGCCCGCUGGUCCAUGAAUGCUGCUCUCCACUCAAGGCGCCGCACAGCUGAAACCAAAAACCAACGGACCACUCGACUGGCCAGCGACGCUGCACUCCACCCAAGGCGCCACGCAGCUGAAUCUGAAAACCAGCAGAGUUGUCAACUGGGUAGCGAUGCCAACUUUCAUCAUACUUGCCAACAUUGGGUUGUGAAAAAUGGGCUGAUUUUUUUCAUCGGUGUAUCGACCCAUGGAACAAGUUUCCUUCCUCAGGUGUGCGCAUAAAUUGUCAUCAUUUUUUGCCUUGUAUUUUAAACCUAAUGAAGGAACCUUGUUCUGAAAAUGUUGUUUCUUUGAUAUGCAAUAAAUGAUUCAAGGACA